ACAACGUAAUACUGAUUCUCAGGUACAUGCUCGUGGUAACCAUGCUUUAACUAAAAGGCCUGACGAUUUUCUUGAAGUGCCAAAGAACUCUCAGUUGGCUUAUUGUUCAAAUUCUGAGAAUUCAAGUCUUUCUUCCACAAUGGCGAAAUCCAACGUUGAGAACAAGGAGAAUGAAACAGAUGAACAAGUGGCUCGAUUAACAAAGAAAAGCCAGGAAGUUCUGCAUCUUAAAGACGAGUUUAAAACUGCGAAUGAUUUGAAAAAAUCAUUCUUUGACAACAUCUUUGCAAUCAGGGCGUUACACUGACUCAUCGCUCUUGUCGGAGGAAGUGUUUGAGCCCCUUGUUGAUAUGAACAGCGGUGUAUCUCUAAUUCCCGUUGUUUGCCCCGAUGACGAUAAAGGAGUUAGGGUCUAGCUAUGUCAGAUGAAAAUGAGCGAUUUACUGUUGCACCUGAGACGUCGCGACAUUUAGAAGAUACUUCAUUAUUUUAUCGACAAGAAUUUCUAACGAGUUGACCAUUUUAACUGAGGUGGUAAUUUAUGUUGUUUUCAGUAUUUACACUGAUGAAGACGUCGAGAAUGAUGCAAGUUUAGCAAUAGAGGCAACUGUUGCAGCGAUAUGUGCCACACGUGAUGGUAGCAUAGAAAUUAAUGAUUACUCAGGAUCUUCAUUGGUCAGAACCAUGGGUGAUGGUUGUAUGAAUCCAUCAGAGGAAUAUCCAUCAGGCAAAGAAAUGACUUCAGAGGAAUUAAAACAGGCGAUUGUAUCGAUGAUGUUAAGAAAAGAUGAAGUUGAAGAACGUAACAGAUCGUUACAACAACAUUUGGAAAAGAGAUGAUGAAGUCAGCUUCUCUUCGUCUUCAAUUAGAAGAUUUAAAAAGAGCUAUGUCGUCGAAAGAUGAAGAAAAUUGCGUCGCUCUUAACGGCUUGAAAAGGUUAGGACAUUGAGAACUCUGCAUUUUCGUUAAUCAAAGAUGUCUGUUGACCUGUUGACCAACUAAAGAAAUACGUGGGUGCUGUUCAAUCGUUGAAAAGAAAUGACAUUAUGGAAGAAGCUCCAGAAAAUGAAAGACUUUUUCCAUCAUUCUUUCUCCGGAAUCUGACGUCGACGAAGUGAG
This is a long non-coding RNA of Xenia sp. Carnegie-2017, 1120 nucleotides long. RefSeq lists it as uncharacterized. The record is from RefSeq and is a predicted model, not a curated record. NCBI's taxonomy places the organism in Eukaryota, Metazoa, Cnidaria, Anthozoa, Malacalcyonacea, Xeniidae. The transcript has 5 exons.